GUGGGGACAAAUAUUGCUACACAUGCUGCAGUACCUCCUGUUAAUGGAACUUUUGGAAAUUCUGGAGGACCUCCCAGAAGGUAUUGACCUCACCCAUAUGUUUGUGCAUACCUGCCUGGAUCUGAUUUUUUGUGGUCUAAAUGCUGAAGUAUUUGUAUAUUUUAUUUUAUUCUUCCUGAUCUACAAUUUUUUAUGUUGGAAUAUUACUUUUUGAGUAUGCAUAUAAUGCCAAUGAUUUGAGGGUUUGCUUUAAUAAUUGAGUUGUGUGUUCUUUGUUGUAAACAAUUAAUUAUAUUUGGAAUUAGUUUAAGGGAAUUUCAUUUUGUACAUUAAUCUACUUUGAAAUUGCUAUUUCAAAAUUCAAAAACAAACCAAUAUCUUGUAUUUUAAGUUGAUUGUUUGUAUCAUGGAUUUUGACUUUCAAACAGUGGACAAGGGAGAAGUGGGCUACUAGGAAGGCCACGUGGUGCACCUAGAGGGCGAGGUAGCAGUCGGAGGGGUCGAGGAGGACGUGGUAGAGAUCGUGAUGAAAAGGUAUCUGCUGAAGAUCUUGAUGCUGAGUUGGAGAAGUAUCAUGCUGAGGCUAUGCAAUUGAACUGAAGGAAUCACUGAUAUUCUGUUUUAUUGAUAUUACAUUUGCGGUUGUCAAGGGCAUGUCA
RNAcentral lists this long non-coding RNA (659 nucleotides) under Phaseolus vulgaris (common bean). RNAcentral's name for it is "long non-coding RNA (PVUL_LNC003184)". The record is from RNAcentral. Lineage: Eukaryota; Viridiplantae; Streptophyta; Magnoliopsida; Fabales; Fabaceae.